This 497-nucleotide ribosomal RNA is filed under the name uncultured bacterium. RNAcentral describes it as "partial 16S ribosomal RNA". It matches the Rfam family "Bacterial small subunit ribosomal RNA", at positions 28 to 507 of the family's 1533-position model. The record is from RNAcentral.
GAUGAACGCUGGCGGCGUGCCUAAUACAUGCAAGUCGAGCGAACGGACGAGAAGCUUGCUUCUCUGAUGUUAGCGGCGGACGGGUGAGUAACACGUGGAUAACCUACCUAUAAGACUGGGAUAACUUCGGGAAACCGGAGCUAAUACCGGAUGAUAUUUUGAACCGCAUGGUUCAAAAGUGAAAGACGGUCUUGCUGUCACUUAUAGAUGGAUCCGCGCUGCAUUAGCUAGUUGGUCAGGUAACGGCUUACCAAGGCAACGAUGCAUAGCCGACCUGAGAGGGUGAUCGGCCACACUGGAACUGAGACACGGUCCAGACUCCUACGGGAGGCAGCAGUAGGGAAUCUUCCGCAAUGGGCGAAAGCCUGACGGAGCAACGCCGCGUGAGUGAUGAAGGUCUUCGGAUCGUAAAACUCUGUUAUUAGGGAAGAACAUAUGUGUAAGUAACUGUGCACAUCUUGACGGUACCUAAUCAGAAAGCCACGGCUAACUACGUG